RNAcentral lists this ribosomal RNA (385 nucleotides) under uncultured euryarchaeote. RNAcentral's name for it is "bacterial SSU rRNA". It matches the Rfam family "Archaeal small subunit ribosomal RNA", at positions 474 to 859 of the family's 1478-position model. The record is from RNAcentral. Lineage: Archaea; Methanobacteriati; Methanobacteriota.
UCCCCGCAGUYCAAGUYGCAACCACAUUUGUUGGGUCUAAAACAUCCGUAGCCAGCUUUGUAAGUCUCCUGUGAAAUCCGGCCUCUCCAGGGUCGAAGUGCGAGAGAUACUGCAAAGCUAGGGACCGGGAGACGUAACGAGUACGUACAGAGUACCGGUAAAAUGGGCUGAUCCUGUAUGGACUACCAACCGCGAAGGCACGUUACGAGCACGGAUCCGACGGUGAGGGAUGAAGGCUAGGGGCGCAAAGUGGAUUAGAUACCCAUGUAGUCCUAGCAGUAAACACUGCACACUGAACAUUGGGGCCUCUUCGAGAGGUCUCAGUGCUGUAGGGAAGCCGGAGAGUGUGCUACCUGGGAAGUAUAGUCGCAAGACCGAAACUUAA